AUGUUUCCACCUUUGUGUCAAAUCCUGAAGGAUCUUUGCCCCAGUCCGGGGCGCUGCUCGGUGUGCCAGGGGCAGAUUCAGUCCAAUAAAGGGUUUUUUUCUGAUGUGACCCUUUUAAAGACUCUGCAGAUCAUGGCUGGCUUCUUCAGCAUCGGACUUGGGCCCGGAUGUUUUAGCACAGAUCCUGGAGAUCUGACCAGCUUAGGAGCCGCUUACUGGCUGGGUGCUGUGGUCAUUGUAACUGGAAUCCUGUCCAUUUUGGCCAGACAGUUCCCUUCUUUGUGAUUGUUGGGCUUCACUGUGUUCAUGAACAUCGCUGGAGCAAUCCUCGCCAUCGCCGGCAUCAUGCUGUACACUAUAGACCUGCGAGACGCCUCCGUCCUCUCCAUGUGUGAUCAGAGCACAAACAGUGUUGAUCCGUAUGAUGACAAGUGCAGUGAUAUGGCACUCUUUGAUCAGAGAUUACUAAAAUCCAUGGACGUCUCGUUGGUUGCCCGCACUUUCCUCCAGCUGUUUGUCAAUAUUCGGUUUGCUAUUAUUGGCAUCAAGGCUUUGACCAGUGAGAUGAAGGAGGAGAAGGAUGACCAAGAUGUCGACGACCAGCAGGCAAAGUCGAGGGAACGUUUCAUCCUCAUCUCAUUACGAGUCCUGUCCACGCCAAACCAGACUGGCAGGAGCAGGAAUCAGAGGUCAGGAACUUGGUGUGAGAUGUCGGUCGCUAUCGUUCUCCCUGAGGCCUCUGACGCUCAGAGCCUGCUGUGUCCACUUCUGUGUCAGAUCCUCAGGAUUCUUUGCUGCAGCUCCAGGUGCUGCUCAGUUUAUGUGCUGAUGCAGGCCGACGUAACUGCCGCUCUUGGGACGAUUCAGAUCAUGGUGGGUUUGGUCAACAUUGGACUUGGUCCUGGACGGACAAGCACGCGUCCUGGAGAUUUGACCAGUGUGGGAGCUGCUUACUGGCUUGGUGCUGUGUACACUCUAGUUGGGAUCAUGUCAGUGUUCGCGGGUGGUCGCCCCUCUCAUUGCUUGGUGGGCUUCGGCGUGUUCGUCAACGUAGUGGGAUGUAUCUUUGCCAUCGCUGGCAUUGUGCUGUACGCCAUCGACCUGGGAGACACCUCUGUCGUCUGGAUGUGCGCCUGGAAUCAGCUCAAUGCUGAUCACUUUGGCGACAACUGCAGAUCCGUGGCGUUCUUUGUCCAGAGUCUGUUGACUGGUAUGGACAUCACUCUGAUCGUCCUGGCCGUUCUCCAGCUGUGUGUCUGCAUUAGCGUCGCUGUUCUGGGCGUCAAGUCUUUAGCCAAUGGGAAGAAGGAAGAGCAGGAUGGCAGAGGUGUAGACAUGUACCAGCCAGUGUUGAAGGAAGUCUUCAUGACCUUUCCUGGGGCUUAAAAUCAAUUCAUCCAAACACAGGGAUGCAUGAGUAUGAAUAUGCAACAAUGUUUUUGUAAUCAAUGCACCAUUUAUUCAAACACAUCUGAUAAUCUAAACUGCCUCACAAAGCCACCUGUCACCUCUUACCUGUCAGCUUGUGAAUGUUUUUUUACAGGAAACAUGUUUGCAGAAAGUCAAGUAAAAAUGUUGCAAGCUGUCAGUGUCUUAAGAGUUUAGGUUUUUUGUUUCCAAGACUGAAAUUCUAUUCAUGUAAUUGCGGAGGCAGAAAUCAAUGGGCCACAGCAUAGCUCAAGCUCAGAGGUGGAUAUGCAAAAGGCAUACUGUACCUGCCACGUCCUGAACUGUAAUCUCACUGAAGUGUAAGUAUCAUGAGGGGAAUGUUGGAGAAAGAUGUGUAAAUAAAAAGGACACUGUCACAUGGUUUUAUUGAUUUCCACAAGCAGCUGCCUUUAUGCUGUGUGUGCAGCUGUGAUCGCUGCGUUACUUAGUUGGAAUCAAUGAUAUAUAUAUAAGUAUAUGUGAAUAAAAUUAAUUU
RNA transcript from Scophthalmus maximus (turbot), 1924 nucleotides. RefSeq lists it as uncharacterized. The transcript is spliced from 13 exons. The record is from RefSeq and is a predicted model, not a curated record. Lineage: Eukaryota; Metazoa; Chordata; Actinopteri; Pleuronectiformes; Scophthalmidae.